RNAcentral lists this ribosomal RNA (193 nucleotides) under Enterobacter asburiae. RNAcentral describes it as "partial 16S ribosomal RNA". It matches the Rfam family "Bacterial small subunit ribosomal RNA", at positions 1 to 187 of the family's 1533-position model. RNAcentral also lists the same sequence under 6 other names. Lineage: Bacteria; Pseudomonadati; Pseudomonadota; Gammaproteobacteria; Enterobacterales; Enterobacteriaceae. The record is from RNAcentral.
AAAUUGAAGAGUUUGAUCAUGGCUCAGAUUGAACGCUGGCGGCAGGCCUAACACAUGCAAGUCGAGCGGCAGCGGAAAGUAGCUUGCUACUUUGCCGGCGAGCGGCGGACGGGUGAGUAAUGUCUGGGAAACUGCCUGAUGGAGGGGGAUAACUACUGGAAACGGUAGCUAAUACCGCAUAACGUCGCAAGAC